UACAGAGGGGGCAAGCGUUAUUCGGAAUUAUUGGGCGUAAAGGGCGCGUAGGCGGCUUUUCAAGUGACGGGUGAAAUCCCUCGGCUUAACCGAGGAACUGCCUGUCAGACUGGAAGGCUUGAGACCGGGAGAGGUGAGAGGAAUUCCCAGUGUAGCGGUGAAAUGCGUAGAUAUUGGGAGGAACACCAGUGGCGAAGGCGGCUCACUGGACCGGAACUGACGCUGAGGCGCGAAAGCGUGGGGAGCAAACAGG
RNAcentral lists this ribosomal RNA (253 nucleotides) under uncultured bacterium. RNAcentral's name for it is "partial 16S ribosomal RNA". It matches the Rfam family "Bacterial small subunit ribosomal RNA", at positions 524 to 776 of the family's 1533-position model. The record is from RNAcentral.